Molecule: small nuclear RNA, 107 nt
Filed under: Tursiops truncatus (common bottlenose dolphin)
Lineage: Eukaryota; Metazoa; Chordata; Mammalia; Artiodactyla; Delphinidae
Source: RNAcentral
GUGUUCACUUCGGCAGCACAUUUACUAAAAUUGGAAGGAUACAGAGAAGAUUAGCAUGGCCCCUGUGCGAGGAUGACACACAAAUUCGUGAAGCGUUCUAUAUAUAU